GAUGAACGCUAGCGGCAGGCUUAACACAUGCAAGUCGAGGGGUAGGGCAGCAAUGCCUGAGACCGGCGCACGGGUGCGUAACGCGUAUGCAAUCUACCUUGUACAGGGGAAUAGCCCAGAGAAAUUUGGAUUAAUGCCCCAUAGUAUAUUUGAAUGGCAUCAUUUAAAUAUUAAAGUUCAGGCGGUACAAGAUGAGCAUGCGUCCCAUUAGCUAGUUGGUAUGGUAACGGCAUACCAAGGCAAUGAUGGGUAGGGGUCCUGAGAGGGAGAUCCCCCACACUGGUACUGAGACACGGACCAGACUCCUACGGGAGGCAGCAGUGAGGAAUAUUGGUCAAUGGGCGCAAGCCUGAACCAGCCAUGCCGCGUGCAGGAUGACGGUCCUAUGGAUUGUAAACUGCUUUUGUACAGGAAGAAACACUCCCUCGUGAGGGAGCUUGACGGUACUGUAAGAAUAAGGAUCGGCUAACUCCGUG
RNAcentral lists this ribosomal RNA (476 nucleotides) under uncultured bacterium. RNAcentral's name for it is "bacterial SSU rRNA". It matches the Rfam family "Bacterial small subunit ribosomal RNA", at positions 28 to 507 of the family's 1533-position model. The record is from RNAcentral.